Molecule: long non-coding RNA, 2690 nt
Filed under: Homo sapiens (human)
Lineage: Eukaryota; Metazoa; Chordata; Mammalia; Primates; Hominidae
Description: non-protein coding RASSF8-AS1:24
Source: RNAcentral
AUUCAAAGCUCGCGUCCCUUCAAGUUGAAUCUUCCGGCUUUGUGCGAUUUACCCUCUCAAACUUUCUAGUUUGCAAGUCAGAAUUACUUUGAACGUCCCCUCUUCUGGACUCCCCUCCCCAAAGGGACUGGCGGCAAAGGAGAAUAGAAUGCAGAUGGUUAAUAGUUCAAAUGAAAUUUAAAAACCUAUAAACCAAUAUUUUUUUAGAGGAGAAAAGCGUUCACCAAACCGCCACCCGGCAAGCGAGCAUCCGAUUUCCAUCCGGAGGAAAAAAUAUUUUAAAAACCAGACAUAAAAUUCCCUUUGCAAGAAAAGUGGCCUCUAAACUCCCUUGCCAAGGACACUGGGAGGAAGCAGAAAAGCAAAGACCAAGCUCGUACUUUUCAGUCCGCGGCUUGUGUGCCGCGAGGAGAGGCGCAAAGGGUGACACACCAGGAAAGCAGGUAGCAGGCAAGAGUGUGGUUAUCGUUGGACCAGGAUUCAGGAUCUGACUGAGUAGCUGACUCUUAAUCCAGUUUGUGUUGAUCACCAGGAGGAUCUGGACCUCAGUAUUACCACAUCUAGAGCUAUAAUCACAUCCCUGUUAAGCCUUCCUGAGAUCACACCAAAUGUCCUUGAUGGGAAUUGUAAACAACCCUUACUUCUGGUUUCUAAUGAUAUUCCAGGAAAGGAGCCUAACUAGAGUCAGUGAUAUGCCAACUCCACCUUUGCCUUCCACCAUGUUUGGAAGCUCCCUGAGGCCUCACCAGGAGCAGAUGCUCGUCCCAUGCUUCCUAUAAGCCUGCAGAACUGGAAAAGAAAGCUGGAUAAAGUAUUUAUAGAAGAUAGAGGACCUGUGGUGGCUCAUGCCUGUAAUCCAAGGUGGAAGGAUUGCUUGAGGCCAGAAGUUCAAGACCAGUCCAAGCAACAUAGCAAGGCCCCAUCUCUACAAAAAAUGAAAAUAAAAUUAGCCGAGCGUGAUGGCUCAUGCCUGUAGUUCUAGCUUCUAGAGAGGCUGAGGCAGGAGGAUUGCUUGAGUCCAGGAGUUCAAGAUUACAGUGAGCUAUGGUCACACCACUGCACUCCAGCCUGGGUGAUGGAGUGAGACUGUCUCAAUAAAAAGACAAAAAGGCUGGCCAGGGGCAGUGGUUCAUGCCUGUAAACCCAGCACUUUGGGAGGCAAAGGCAGGAGGAUUGCUUAAGCCCAGGAAUUUGAGAUCAGCCUGGACAACAUGGUCAAGGAAGCUUUUCCUGAUCCACUAACUAAGGACAAUCAAACCCUUCAUGAUCUAGAAUCUGGAGACUGUGUCUUCUGGGAAUAGUAUCAGAGAAAGACUGCCCUUACUGCCCACAUGUAGCAAAACUUUGAGACGUUGAAUUAUGGGUCCAUAAUCUCACAACUCAGAGGGGCACCUCUAGACUCUUGGAACUGUAUAUCUAUUGGAGACUUUAAGGUAAAGCUGAACAGAGAGACGUUUUUCUCCAGAAGCAGACAGCACCAUAGUCAUGGACAGCUUUCCCAAGAUCACAGAUCAAGACUUCUCUGCCGUCAUGAGACUCAUAACCUCUUAAUUUUUUCUUGCUUAUGCUUCUGUGAACAAUAGAAUUGGAAAAGGGGUGGUCCCGCGUGCACCCAUAGGGUAUACUUUUAUUUGUGGAGGAUUUUGCUGCCAACCUUAUACAUGGGCAAACUUAUGCCUUCAUGGAUGGAAGAUAAAGGGCUAAUAUGGGUUAGAAAUUUUAAUGGUACCUUUGUUUCUCCAUAAUCAUUCAGAAACAGAACACUGGUCCACUCUUGUUAACCUACAUCAUAGGUUGAAGAGAACAUUGCCAGGAGGCCUUCAUCCUUCCAGAUGGGCACCAUUUGUUGGGUCUUUUUCCGUGGUAUGAAGAAAAUGAAGCAAUGAUUAGAAAUUGGUCCCUCGGCCGGGCACAAUGGCUCAUGCCUGUAAUCCCAUCACUUUGGCAGGCCGAGGCGGGUGGAUCACCUGAGGUCAGGAGUUUGAGACCAGCCUGACCAAUGUGGUGAAACGCCAUCUCUACUAAAAAUACAAAAAUUAGCUGGGUGUGAUGGUGCACACCUGUAAUCCAGCUACUCGGGAGGCUGAGACAGGAGAAUUGCUUGAACCUGGGAGGCAGAGGUUGCAGUGAGCCAAGAUCACCCCACUGCAUUCCAGGUUGGGCAACAGAGCAAGACUCUGUCUCAAAAAAAAAAGAAGAAAGAAAGAAAUUGAUCCCUCAUAAUAGGCUGUAUAGCAGAUUCUACUGCAAAGGCUAUGGUUGCACAACAGACUUCUUUGAAUUUGCUUGCUAAACUUUUACUGGAUAAUACUGGGAUUACAGGUGUGAGCCACUGUGCCCAGCCUCUCCUGUUUAACUGUAUUCAUUCUAAUGUUUACUUACUUCUUUAAUUUGUAAAAUUGGGUCACUUAGAGUUUUUUUAGCCUAUCUUGCCAUUUAGCCACUGUUACUGAUAAUUUGGAUGGAAAAGAAAAAUAAAUUAUAUCACCUCUCAUCUUCAGUGUAUAUAUGUGUUAACUUAGUAAAUAUAGUAUUCUUUCUCGUUCCUAAUGAAAAUUUAGUUUACGUACUGAAACACUGCAAACUUUUAUAAAUAUUGUGAUGUAUUUGACCAAUACAAAGGAUCUUUUUAGAAACAGCAAACAGUUCUCAGAUUAUAGGAAUUACUCAUUUAAUGAUAGUUUCUUCUU